RNAcentral lists this ribosomal RNA (301 nucleotides) under uncultured bacterium. Its description in RNAcentral is "partial 16S ribosomal RNA". It matches the Rfam family "Bacterial small subunit ribosomal RNA", at positions 509 to 807 of the family's 1533-position model. The record is from RNAcentral.
CAGCCGCCACGGUAAUACAGAGGGUGCGAGCGUUAAUCGGAUUUACUGGGCGUAAAGCGUGCGUAGGCGGCUAAUUGAGUCGGAUGUGAAAUCCCCGAGCUUAACUUGGGAAUUGCAUUCGAUACUGGUUAGCUAGAGUGUGGGAGAGGAUGGUAGAAUUCCAGGUGUAGCGGUGAAAUGCGUAGAGAUCUGGAGGAAUACCGAUGGCGAAGGCAGCCAUCUGGCCUAACACUGACGCUGAGGUACGAAAGCAUGGGGAGCAAACAGGAUUAGAUACCCGCGUAGUCCCUGUCUCUUAUAC